Mustela erminea (ermine) is the source of this 302-nucleotide long non-coding RNA. RefSeq lists it as uncharacterized. NCBI's taxonomy places the organism in Eukaryota, Metazoa, Chordata, Mammalia, Carnivora, Mustelidae. The transcript is spliced from 3 exons. The record is from RefSeq and is a predicted model, not a curated record.
ACUUCCUAUAAGAAGAGAGGCAUGGAGUAGAGCAGUCAUCUGGUAAUGAACAGAGGAACACCUGCCUCAUGGCCCUUGGCUAGUAAUCUGUCUUUCAUCAAAAGCAGUAAAGAUCCAAUUGAGAGAUCAGUCACAGAAGUCAGAUGUUUGAGAGAAAAAUGUCAACUGCUUGACUGAUGAAGCCUGGAUUAGAGUGUGUGGCAACCAUAACUGGUGAUAAAACAGAAAAGUCAACAGAUUAGGUUCUGCUCUUAUGGUAGUGAGUAUAUGGUGCUUCACUUUAGUGUAUAACAACCACAAUU